ACGGGAGGUGAGAGCGAGGCCGCGAAUGAAUGAAAAAUUACAUUUUAUGUACGGAGUCAAAAUCAUAAACACACAAUUAACUUCCUAAUUGUCCCAAUAUGUACAAACAUUCAAAUAUUGUGUUAAGAACAGGGAAUGCCAAAGCUGUCAGUGUUAUGACAGCACUGCAUGUGUUACAAAGCGCUCAGGGCUGAGAAGUGUGAGAUAAUAACGAAUGAAAAUAUCUGUCUUGUCUGUCUGAGACAUUUAAAAUCAACAAAAUACGAAUGCAUACAAACAGGCAGUGGGUUACAAUAACAGGGUAAAUAUGCCCUAAGGAUCCCAAAAAAGGUGACAACAAAUUUCCCACACAGCCUGUGUUCCCACAGUAGUUCAGCAGUUUAGUCCAAACAUGGAUUCGAUUAAAACUAGCUGCCUCUGAGGUCGUGGAGUAAAAUCCCUCCAAAAAGUAAUUUAUGUGAAUAGUUGAAGAGUUUAAGAUACUUAUAUUUCUUGUAUUUUUAUAACCAGUCAAAAAAACUGUAUUAAAACGUCAGAGUUUGAAGUUAUACACUGAAGAGUUAAAGUAAGAUAAGUACAGCUAUAAAAGUCCUGAGAUGAGAUAAGUUUACUCAUCGAAUAGAUAACACAUGUGGUUAAUUCUAGAGAUUAAAUAUGUUUCCCUAUUGUAUUAUAAUUCAUGCUGUUUCUAGUAUUUACUGUGUUCAAUCACAGACUGUGUGUUUCUGCUCCUAUCAGCUGUCAGACUUAUCAGUGGAACAAGUCAGGCGCUAACUGUUAAAAAUGGAUUACCAUGUGGGUAUUGGGAUGUAAUUAAAAAAUAAUCAAACAGUCUUUCAUUCAUUGUCUGCAGCUGUUCAAAAUAAUGACAUCACAGAGUCAGUUUACACAGUGACCAGGUUGGUGGAUGUAGAAGUGGUCUAGCAAUGACCCAAAAGGGAAUUUAAUCUGCAGCCUGCAAAGCACGACUGAGCAAGUUUGUGAUAACAAACCGAGCUCCACUGAUACACCUACAAGAAAGUAGGAGGCUUGUGAACACUGGGACGGGAGGGAAGCUUUUGAAAAAGAGAAAAUCUGUGAUAAACACUCUUGCUAAUCUGCUGUUUCUAAAUAACAAAGCCUGCCGGAGAGCGAGAGGGAGCUUAAUCCUAAAUACAGGAGGAACAAGUGCAGAGUAGCAUCUAGGUCACACGCUGCACCACAACUGCAGCAACAAGGAGGGGGCUGAGCCAAAAUUAGGCACAGCAGAGGUGCCCAAUGUCCAGAGGUGAUAAGAAGAUGGAGGAGGUUGCCACGAUGGAGGGCCAAAAUGGGAUUUAUCCAGACCAAAGUCAACCUGCAGUGCAGUAUUUUCUAUACGGAUGACAUUAAAACCCAAUUCCUUCCCUCAGAAAUAAACAGGGAGCAAAAUUCAUUCCACUCUUUGUGCAUUAUUAUUACAGUUAGCAACAAUUUAGUCUUUAGGAGUAGACAAUAACAUAAAUGUAACUAAAUCAACAUUGCAAACAAUAUC
Molecule: long non-coding RNA, 1513 nt
Organism: Thunnus maccoyii (southern bluefin tuna)
Lineage: Eukaryota; Metazoa; Chordata; Actinopteri; Scombriformes; Scombridae
Exons: 3
Source: RefSeq, a predicted model, not a curated record